UGCCAGCAGCCGCGGUAACACGGAGGGCGCGAACGUUACUCGGAAUCACUGGGCAUAAAGGGCAUGUAGGCGGCCCGACCAGUCAGAUGUGAAAUCCUUCGGCUCAACCGAAGAACUGCAUUUGAUACUGUCGGGCUCGAGGAUGGUUGGGGUAAGCGGAACUCCUGGUGGAGCGGUGAAAUGCGCAGAUAUCAGGAGGAACACCAGUGGCGAAAGCGGCUUACUGGACCAUUUCUGACGCUGAGGUGCGAAAGCUAGGGUAGCGAACGGGAUUAGAUA
RNAcentral lists this ribosomal RNA (279 nucleotides) under uncultured bacterium. Its description in RNAcentral is "partial 16S ribosomal RNA". It matches the Rfam family "Bacterial small subunit ribosomal RNA", at positions 506 to 784 of the family's 1533-position model. The record is from RNAcentral.